GGUUUCUUAACCAGGGGUCAGGGGCCCAGAGGGUAGUCUGGUGUCCAUCUGAGAGUGAGUGGAGUUGGGGGCCGGGGGAAGGAGAGGCGGAUGACACUCAAUAUCUUUCAAGGUCCCACUCUGCCAAAAACAUCAUUGAGCAUCUACUCUGUGCCAAGUAAUGUUCUAUGCAGAUGAAUCGGUUCCCACCAUCCAGCGGUCACAGCCUGCCAGGAAGCAAGAGAAGACGACGAAGACUGUGAGUUUCUCGUGGAAGGCAAGAGUAUGUGCUGAGCCCCAGGAACGGAACAUAGAGCAGGAGGCAUAAAAAACAUUGGAGUGAAAUAUGUCUUUUCAGUGAAACCCUUGGAACAGAGGGCUUAAGUUGUUGAUGCAAAGUAGUGUCGGUGUGCU
Molecule: long non-coding RNA, 393 nt
Filed under: Equus caballus (horse)
Lineage: Eukaryota; Metazoa; Chordata; Mammalia; Perissodactyla; Equidae
Description: lncRNA (ENSECAG00000036109.3)
Source: RNAcentral